Molecule: ribosomal RNA, 549 nt
Filed under: uncultured Glomeromycotina
Lineage: Eukaryota; Fungi; Glomeromycota
Description: SSU rRNA
Rfam family: Eukaryotic small subunit ribosomal RNA
Source: RNAcentral
UUGGAGGGCAAGUCUGGUGCCAGCAGCCGCGGUAAUUUCAGCUCCAAUAGCGUAUAUUAAAGUUGUUGCAGUUAAAAAGCUCGUAGUUGAAUUUCGGGGUCAAUUUAUCGGUCGUGCCUCUGGUAUGCACUGGUAUUAUUGAUUUCUACCUUCUGACGAACCAUGAUGUCAUUAAUUUGGUGUCAUGGGGAAUCAGGACUGUUACUUUGAAAAAAUUAGAGUGUUUAAAGCAAGCACACGCUUGAAUACAUUAGCAUGGAAUAAUGAAAUAGGACGUUUGACCCUAUUUUGUUGGUUUCUAGGAUCGACGUAAUGAUUAAUAGGGAUAGUUGGGGGCAUUAGUAUUCAAUUGUCAGAGGUGAAAUUCUUGGAUUUAUUGAAGACUAACUUCUGCGAAAGCAUUUGCCAAGGAUGUUUUCAUCAAUCAAGAACGAAAGUUAGGGGAUCGAAGACGAUCAGAUACCGUCGUAGUCUUAACCAUAAACUAUGCCGACUAGGGAUCGGACGAAGUUAAUUUUUUAAUGACUCGUUCGGCGCCUUACGGGAAAC